UUAAAACAGAGUUUGAUCCUAGCUCAGGAUGAACGCUGGCGGCGUGGAUAAGGCAUGCAAGUCGAACGGACCUUGCUUUUCGGAUCGAUCGAAUGGAGUGGAGUAGCAAUACAAAACAACAUGACAUUUUGAAGAAGAGCGCUGGUUAGUGGCGAACGAGGUAGUAAAAUGUAGGUAUGUACCCCAAAGUCAUGAAUAAUUCAUCGAAAGGUGAACUAAUACAUGAUGGUCUCGAGAGAGUAAAGAUUUAUCGCUUUGGGAACAGCCUGCACGGUAUCAGCUUGUUGGUAGUGUAAUGGACUACCAAGGCUAUGACGCCUAGGGGAGGUGAGAGCCUGACCCCCACCGAUGGGACUGAGACACGGCCCAUACACCUACGGGUGGCUGCAGUCGAGAAUCUUCCACAAUGGACGAAAGUCUGAUGGAGCGACGCCGCGUGAUGGAUGAAGUCCUUACGGAUGUAAACAUCUUUUAUAGGGGAAGAAAUUUUUGACGGUACCCUAUGAAUAAGAGGCUCCUAACCUCGUGCCAGCAGGAGCGGUAAUACGAGGGCCUCGAGCGUUAUCCGGAAUUAUUGGGCGUAAAGUGUGCGUAGGCGGCAUUGUUAGUCGAGUGUUAAAUCCUAGGGCUCAACCUUAGAAUCGCAUUCGAAACGGCAAAGCUUGAGAGGAGAAGAGGUGAACAGAACUCAUGGUGUAGGGGUGAAAUCCGUUGAUAUCAUGGGGAAUACCAAAUGCGAAGGCAGUUCACUGGUCUCUUUCUGACGCUGAGGCACGAAAGCGUGGGUAGCGAAUGGGAUUAGAUACCCCAGUAGUCCACGCCCUAAACGAUGUUCUCUCGCUUUUUGGAGUAUCGACCCUCUGAGAGGCUUAGCUAACGCGAUAAGAGAACCGCCUGGGAAGUACGAUCGCAAGAUUAAAACUCAAAGGAAUAGACGGGGACUUGCACAAGCAGUGGAUUAUGUGGUUUAAUUCGACGGUAAACGAAGAACCUCACCAGGGUUUGAAACCUAAGUGAAAUCCCGGAGAAACUCGGGACCUCGCAAGACUCUUAGGCAGGUGCUGCAUGGCCGUCGUCAGUUCGUGGUUUGAAUUGUUCCCUUAAGUGGGGCAACGAACGCAACCCUUGUCAUGUGUUACAAGUGUCACAUGAGACUGCCCAGCCCUUUGCUCACAAAGCAAAGGACGGCAUAGAAAGGUACGAAUACGACGCCAAAAAAUAAACCAAAAGUAGAAGUAUCAAUUUUCUAAGCCCUUCACAAUUUUUGUGGUUAAAGGGCUGGGAGGAAGGAAAGGAUGACGCCAGGUCAGCAUGGCCCUUUGAUACCCUGGGCUACACACAUAAUACAAUGGCUACUACAACAGGAUGCGACGAGGCGACUCUGAGCAAAUCCCAUAAAGGUAGCCCCAGUUCGGAUUGAAGUCUGCAACUCGACUUCAUGAAGUUGGAAUUGCUAGUAAUCGCGGGUCAGAUAUACCGCGGUGAAUACGUUCUCAAGUCUUGUACUCACCGCCCGUCAAGUCAAGGGAGCCGGGAGUACCCGACGUCUCACCAUAAGGUGGGCCUAAGGUAAGUUCGGUAACAGGGACUAAGUCGUAACAAGGCACGGCUAGCGGAAGCUGGUCGUGGAAUAACUCAAUU
This 1641-nucleotide ribosomal RNA is filed under the name Candidatus Woesebacteria bacterium. RNAcentral's name for it is "bacterial SSU rRNA". It matches the Rfam family "Bacterial small subunit ribosomal RNA". Lineage: Bacteria; Candidatus Woeseibacteriota. The record is from RNAcentral.